UGUUGAGUGUCUAACCACUAACUACUUAUGCAGAAACAAGGACUGCAGAGGAGGGAGCUCACCAGAUCAUCACUUCUUUCUCUGUCCAAAAGGAGAAAUCAGAAGACGUGAGGCAGAUAAAAGCAUUAGAGAAAACAGGAUGAAGAGAACGUUUACAGAAGAGCAAGAACAGCUUAUGUCUGAUCUCUCACCUGAAAUGGCAGAAAAGUUCAAAAGAGCCUUCUCAAAUGUGGCUGCUGCAACAAAUCAGAUUGACAGUGGACAACGCAGCCUCAUGGAAAGAAGACUUGAAAGCAGAGAAUUACCAGUCAUCCUGAUGUUGUUGGAAAUCACUGCCAAUGCGGGCCAGAAAAUUGGAACCUUGAUAGACUUGGCAUCUGACACUAAUUACAUCACUCAUAAAGCUGCCAGGAGACUAAACCUGAAAAGUGAGAAGAUCACACUAGUUGUCCAUGGAGUUGGAGGGAUGACUACAAAAGUAAAGACAAGAAGAUACCUUUUAAGAGUCAGAGUCAAAACCCCCCAGAGAACACAGAAGGCUCAUCAACUCAUCUGCUACGGCCUUAACGAGAUUGUCAAAGUAAAUCAAGUUAUUCAACCAGAGCAGCUGAGGAAGUUCUUCCCGGAUACUUAACUGGAGGAUCUGAGAAGACCAGGAACCAUAGACCUUCUCAUCAGUCACAGAGAAGGGAGACUGGCCCCUCAAAGACUGAAGAUGGUAGGAGAUCUUGUUCUCUGGGAUAGUCCUCUGGGGAAAACUGUGGGUGGGGCUCACCCUGACCUCUUUGAAGGUGUUGAUGUCACAGCUCACAAUUGCAAAACACACUUUGCCCGCUCCAUGAGAACAACUGCAGUGAAGUACAUGGAAAUCCCCAGUGCACCUAACAGUAGGACAGCAGUUGCUGCCAGAGAGUUCCUGGACUCGUGGAAAUGGGAGAGUGUUGGGGCAGCCUGUGAGCCCAAGUGUGGAGGAUGUCUCUGUGGUAGGGUUAGGGUUAGGAGUAUUGAAAUAGACACAGAUGACUCUCCCCGCUUUCGUCCGUGGACUAGGCAGUUUGGUGUGGAGAGCCAGCGGCAAUGCACGGGCCGACGCAUGUCACUCAUGUUCCCUGAUACUUGAGUCACUUUGCAAGAGUAAUAGAGGUACAUAUGGAAAGGCACAGAUAAGAAUUAAAUGUACACAUGAUCUUAGAUGUUUCAGACUAGUUCCUGUAUUGGUUGAGUUUAGAAAGAGCUAUGGGUUGGGUUGUAAUGGUGACUAGGUUUGGUCAACUCUUUAGGUGAGAUUAUGAACUGAGGUUGUUGGGGUAGGAGAGAGACCAGGUCGGAGUUGGUUCUGGAGUUGGCUCUCUAGGUUUGGUUAGCUUAAAGGUUUAGGCAAAUAGACACCAUGGUUAGAAAAGAAAAGAUUGGAUCCCGCCAUCCCGAAGGGAUGGAGGGAUCAGAUGCACUCUCCAUCCAGGCGGGUACCGGGAGGCCCACAUCCACCGGCCGCAUCACCUGCAUCCCACACCGUAACUGUCAUGGACCUCACGACUGCAAAAACACAACUGAACAUAAUCUUCAUUAUGGUGAUACAUUAAAUGAACCUAUGCAAUUAUAUCCACACAUAUCAAACAUUUAUAAAUCUGUGUUCCCUUUCUUACAAUUUGUAAGCGUUUUAUACCCAUUUUUUGUAUAAAUAUCUUGGUUUUAUUCUGGGAGAUGGGUUUGAUGGUGCUUAAAAUGCGAUGUGGAAUCAUCGGAUGGUUAUAAUAGGCAUGAUUCUGAAGGUGGUUAUGGUGUAGUCUGGGUCUAAAAAUAAAAAAUUAAUAACUUAGAAGUAAUUAGGGUUAGGCAAAAACCUGGGGGUGGUUAUGAUUAGGGUUAGAAAAGACAAGAUUGGAUGCCUCCAUCUCCAAGAGAUAGGGUUAGGGUUAGGGGUUAGGUGAAGGAUUGGAUCAGGGUUAUUUGUUAUCUGUGUGGAUCUCAGGUGCGCUGGCUCAGGUGGCUGAAGGAGGCAUGGAAGAUGAAUACCUUUUCUUAUGAUCGGACGGACGACCCAUCUUCCAAAACAGGAGCAAGCUAAUAGCCUAGAGAUUGACCAAGACAAAUAGAAUUUUUUUUUUUUUUUUUUUUUUUUUUUUUUUUUUCAAAUAAAUAUAAAA
This is a long non-coding RNA of Betta splendens (Siamese fighting fish), 2147 nucleotides long. RefSeq lists it as uncharacterized. The record is from RefSeq and is a predicted model, not a curated record. The transcript has 2 exons. NCBI's taxonomy places the organism in Eukaryota, Metazoa, Chordata, Actinopteri, Anabantiformes, Osphronemidae.